Molecule: ribosomal RNA, 483 nt
Filed under: Vestistilus variabilis
Lineage: Eukaryota; Metazoa; Arthropoda; Insecta; Hemiptera; Membracidae
Description: eukaryotic LSU rRNA
Source: RNAcentral
GAAGAGAGAGUUCAAGAGUACGUGAAACCGUUCAGGGGUAAACGGAAAAGACUUUAAACACCGAACGGGGAGAUUCACGCUCUCUCGCAAGAGACGGCUCCCGCGAGGUCAGAUGGCAUCGUUCGCCCGCUCGGCGCAAGCCGUUGCGGGGUCGUUUCGGUGGUCACUCGGCGCUCGUGGGGGAUAUGCCGUCCGCGGUGGGCCGCACUUCUCCCUCAUUAGGACGCCGCGACCCGUUAGGCGACGGUCGACGGUCCCGGCGGUAGCCCGAGCCGGUGUCUCCGGACAUCCGACUCGGACCCCGGGUUACCUGGCUGAUCGGAAGACGGUAUGAAACGCAGGUGUUGGACCGCCCCCCAUUUGUCGGGCGUCCGGGCCGGUCGCAAGCUCGUGCGCGCGUUCGGGAUGACGGACUUCGCUCCGGCUCUCGGCCCGUACAGCUGUUGGCGAGCCGCGUCCUCGGACGGGUCUUGUAACACUGGU